Molecule: ribosomal RNA, 253 nt
Filed under: uncultured bacterium
Lineage: Bacteria
Description: partial 16S ribosomal RNA
Rfam family: Bacterial small subunit ribosomal RNA
Source: RNAcentral
UACAGGGGGUGCAAACGUUGCUCGGAAUCAUUGGGCGUAAAGCGCACGCAGGCGGUUUGUUAUGUCGGAUGUGAAAGCCCUUGGCUCAACUGAGGAAGUGCAUCCGAAACUGGCAAGCUAGAGUACUAAAGAGGGUCGCGGAAUUCCCGGUGUAGAGGUGAAAUUCGUAGAUAUCGGGAGGAACACCGGUGGCGAAGGCGGGUCUCUGGGCCGAUACUGACGCUGAGGAGCGAAAGCGUGGGGAGCGAACAGG